RNAcentral lists this ribosomal RNA (497 nucleotides) under uncultured bacterium. RNAcentral describes it as "partial 16S ribosomal RNA". It matches the Rfam family "Bacterial small subunit ribosomal RNA", at positions 28 to 507 of the family's 1533-position model. The record is from RNAcentral.
GAUGAACGCUGGCGGCGUGCCUAAUACAUGCAAGUCGAGCGAACAGACGAGGAGCUUGCUCCUCUGACGUUAGCGGCGGACGGGUGAGUAACACGUGGAUAACCUACCUAUAAGACUGGGAUAACUUCGGGAAACCGGAGCUAAUACCGGAUAAUAUAUUGAACCGCAUGGUUCAAUAGUGAAAGACGGUUUUGCUGUCACUUAUCGAUGGAUCCGCGCCGCAUUAGCUAGUUGGUAAGGUAACGGCUUACCAAGGCAACGAUGCGUAGCCGACCUGAGAGGGUGAUCGGCCACACUGGAACUGAGACACGGUCCAGACUCCUAAGGGAGGCAGCAGUAGGGAAUCUUCCGCAAUGGGCGAAAGCCUGACGGAGCAACGCCGCGUGAGUGAUGAAGGUCUUCGGAGCGUAAAACUCUGUUAUUAGGGAAGAACAAAUGUGUAAGUAACUAUGCACGUCUUGACGGUACCUAAUCAGAAAGCCACGGCUAACUACGUG